This 529-nucleotide ribosomal RNA is filed under the name Nakazawaea pomicola. Its description in RNAcentral is "partial large subunit ribosomal RNA". It matches the Rfam family "Eukaryotic large subunit ribosomal RNA", at positions 1 to 630 of the family's 3401-position model. Lineage: Eukaryota; Fungi; Ascomycota; Pichiomycetes; Alaninales; Pachysolenaceae. The record is from RNAcentral.
UCCUAGUCAGAGACGCAGGCCUCGGUCUAUAUGGCAUCUUCCACUUUCGCUGUUCAAUCCGCGAUUUGAGCAACGUACCUUUGGAGUUGGCCCCUGUCUAUGUUCCUUGGAACAGGACGUCACAGAGGGUGAGAAUCCCGUGCGAUGGGGAGACCAAUUCUAUGUAAAGUUCCUUCGAAGAGUCGAGUUGUUUGGGAAUGCAGCUCUAAGUGGGUGGUAAAUUCCAUCUAAAGCUAAAUAUUGGCGAGAGACCGAUAGCGAACAAGUACAGUGAUGGAAAGAUGAAAAGAACUUUGAAAACAAAGUGAAAAAGUACGUGAAAUUGUUGAAAGGGAAGGGCUUUUGAUCAGACUUGGUGUUAAGGACUCUCCACUCCUUGUGGGUGGGGCUCUUGCUUUAUACUGGGCCAGCAUCGGUUUGGAUGGCAGGAUAAUGACUUUGGAAUGUGGCUUCAUUCGUGGAGUGUUAUAGCCUUUGUUGAUACUGCCUAUCUAGACCGAGGACUGCAUCUUUUGACUAGGAUGCUGGC